This 65-nucleotide transfer RNA is filed under the name Loxosceles similis. RNAcentral describes it as "tRNA-Val". Lineage: Eukaryota; Metazoa; Arthropoda; Arachnida; Araneae; Sicariidae. The record is from RNAcentral.
GGUAACUUUAGUUUAUAUAAGACACUUCACUUACACUGAAAUCAAACUAAAAAUGAAAAUUAUUA